RNAcentral lists this long non-coding RNA (258 nucleotides) under Salvia miltiorrhiza (redroot sage). Its description in RNAcentral is "long non-coding RNA (SMIL_LNC012088)". The record is from RNAcentral. Lineage: Eukaryota; Viridiplantae; Streptophyta; Magnoliopsida; Lamiales; Lamiaceae.
AUACCGAUUAUUUUGGUAUACCGUUAAACUGCGGUAUACCGUGAAAGUACGGUAUACCGAAAUUCGGUAAGGUAUACCGAAAUAAAGGUACGGUAAAGGUUUUGUAUUUUCUCUAUACCGUACUUAAGGUAUACCGAACUAAGGUAUACCGUAGGUAAAGGUAAGGUAAAGGUAUGGAUUUUCUCCAUACCGGAGGUAAAGGUAAGGUAUAAGGUAUGAUCGAUUUAAUAAGGUAUACCGUACCGUGCCACCCCUAGU